Mauremys reevesii (Reeves's turtle) is the source of this 276-nucleotide long non-coding RNA. RefSeq lists it as uncharacterized. The record is from RefSeq and is a predicted model, not a curated record. The transcript has 2 exons. Lineage: Eukaryota; Metazoa; Chordata; Testudines; Geoemydidae.
GUACACUCUCACACACCACUUUGAGGAGUGAAACAUGCAUCUUGACAUCUCACCUAGAUACACAACUUAGGACAGUUUGUUCUGAGCAGCGGCUGCAAUCUCAGCACUUAGAUCGUGUCUGCACAAUACUGCUGACUUCCCUCAAUAAACCUGCCUUCAAACAAGAUACAGAACUGAGUGCUCAACUACUUGUUUGACCAUUAAAGAUCUCACUGACCCUCUAUCAAAUAGUGACACGAGUCCCAGUGUUUUGAUUAAAUUCCAUCUUUGCUAAAA